Molecule: ribosomal RNA, 473 nt
Filed under: uncultured delta proteobacterium
Lineage: Bacteria; Deltaproteobacteria
Description: bacterial SSU rRNA
Rfam family: Bacterial small subunit ribosomal RNA
Source: RNAcentral
CGUGAGUGAUGAAGGCUUUCGGGUCGUAAAGCUCUGUCAAGUGGGAAGAAAAUAAUGAGUGCCAAUACCACUCAUUACUGACGGUACCACUGAAGGAAGCACCGGCUAACUCCGUGCCAGCAGCCGCGGUAAUACGGGGGGUGCAAGCGUUAUUCGGAUUCAUUGGGCGUAAAGGGCGCGUAGGCGGUUUUGUAAGUCAGAUGUGAAAGUCCGGGGCUCAACCCCGGAAGUGCAUUUGAAACUACAAGACUUGAGUAUGGGAGAGGGAAGUGGAAUUCCUGGUGUAGAGGUGAAAUUCGUAGAUAUCAGGAGGAACACCGGUGGCGAAGGCGACUUCCUGGACCAAUACUGACGCUGAGGCGCGAAGGCGUGGGUAGCAAACAGGAUUAGAUACCCUGGUAGUCCACGCAGUAAACGGUGAUCACUAGGUGUAGCGGGUAUUGACCCCUGCUGUGCCGCAGUUAACGCAUUAA